GAGACAAAGGAGCAUCGGCCUCAGAUGAAAAUCUCAGAAGCUGUAGGGAUGGCUGUCUGCCCGGAAGCCUGCCCCCGACCCCUUGCUCAGCACAGCUAGCUUCCCCUGCCCUGCAGGAAGCUGGACAGGAUGGGGGAAAGCCUGAGUUAGCUGAGUUAGUCCUGGAGUACAGGGUGCCUAUGGGAGCCUACAGGACGAUGACAUCAGAACAGUGACAUCACAAUGAAAACCUCCAAAAACGGUGAGGAGGAGCAAAAGCCCUGCUUUCUCACCCCAGGAAACGGGCACCCUGAGAAGGGAGAUGCUUGGUCCUGACCUGCCUGACUCUGCCUGGAACACCAGGCUCCUCUGCCAUGUCAUGCUUUGUCUCCUGGGGACAGGUUCAGUGGCUGCUGGAGUCACCCAGGCCCCAAGGCACCUGAUCAAAGAAAAGAGGGAAACAGCUACUCUGCAAUGCUAUCCUAUCCCUGAACACGACACUGUCUACUGGUACCAGCAGGGCCCAGGGCAGGGCCCCCAGUUCCUCAUUUCAUUUUAUGAAAAGAUGCAGAGAGAUAAAGGAAGCAUCCCCGAUCGAUUCUCAGCUCAACAGUUCAGUGACUAUCAUUCUGAACUGAACAUGAGCUCCUUGGAGCUGGGGGACUCAGCCGUGUACCUCUGUGCCAGCAGCUUAGGCACAGCCCUGCAGAAUUACUGGCUUUCUGUACCCAAACCCCCCUGUCUCAGUUGGGGAUGUAACAGAGAGAAGGAGGUGGGGGCUGCCACACAGCUUUAGCCAAGCCCCAGAGAUGCUUCUAGUUCUUUUCUAACGUUUUCCCCCAUCCUGCUGAGCUCAGUGAGA
Non-coding RNA from Mandrillus leucophaeus (drill), 841 nucleotides. The record is from the annotation of a RefSeq genome assembly. NCBI's taxonomy places the organism in Eukaryota, Metazoa, Chordata, Mammalia, Primates, Cercopithecidae.